This is a long non-coding RNA of Scleropages formosus (Asian bonytongue), 754 nucleotides long. RefSeq lists it as uncharacterized. NCBI's taxonomy places the organism in Eukaryota, Metazoa, Chordata, Actinopteri, Osteoglossiformes, Osteoglossidae. The transcript has 3 exons. The record is from RefSeq and is a predicted model, not a curated record.
UACUCUUUGUCCUCUGGACAGCUUUGUGGAGCACCUCAGGUUGAGGACCCCGUCAUGGGAACGACAGGAGGGGCCCUGCCAGCUGCGCAAUUCAGUAGAUCCAGACAGCGCGAUUGAAAUACCAUGGACGGCACGGACUGAACAUCUGAGGACCUUCUCCAGAUCUCUCACUCCAGCCUUUGGGAUUCCUUGUUCUACACUGAGCCCGAGACAAGAGCCGUCAACAGCUUCCACAUGAGCAGGGCUGUGGCGUCGGGUGCGUCGGAGCGGAAGUUGAGGAAAUUGCCGCGGACCGGGGCGGCGCUCCGAGGGGCCGCCAGCCAUGAGGACGUCGAGUAAAACACCUCCAGCAUCGGUGUUCGCCCGGGAAACACUCAUCCACAUUGUCUGGUGCUUUCAUCUCUGUUACACACACACACACAAACCAUGAAUCGCAUCCAUUCUGCCACUCGUCCCUUAAUACCCUCACUAGUAUGCCAGGAAUGGCGAGGCCACCUUAAAGUCGCAGUCGACCGUGAGCGGCUGUUAAUGAAUUCGAGCCCCAAGUUGCCUCGCAACGUGGAGCAUCAACCAGAGCAUCGAUGUCAGCGCUCACAUCGACAUCUCAGAUAACACAAAUAGAUGCCUGGGAGAUGAAUGAAUGAAUGAAUGAAACUUUAUUAAUCCGCUAGUGAAACUCCUCUUGGUUGCUGCAUGGUACAAUAUUUACAUUUACAUUUACAUGUAUUAAUUUAUCAGACACUUUUCCCCAAAG